UGGGGAAUAUUGCGCAAUGGGGGCAACCCUGACGCGGCAACGCCGCGUGAUUGAAGAAGGUCUUCGGAUUGUAAAAAUCUUUUAUCAAGGACGAAGAAGUGACGGUACUUGAUGAAUAAGCUCCGGCUAACUACGUGCC
RNAcentral lists this ribosomal RNA (139 nucleotides) under uncultured bacterium. RNAcentral describes it as "partial 16S ribosomal RNA". It matches the Rfam family "Bacterial small subunit ribosomal RNA", at positions 355 to 509 of the family's 1533-position model. The record is from RNAcentral.